UAAUUCUAGAGCUAAUACAUGCUGAAAAUCCCGACUUNNGAAGGGAUGUAUUUAUUAGAUACAAAACCCNAUGCCCUUCGGGGCUCUCUUGGUGAUUCAUGAUAACUUCUCGANUCGCACGGCCCCGCGCCGGCGAUGGUUCAUUCAAAUUUCUUCCCUAUCAACUUUCGAUGCUACGGUAGUGUCCUAGCAUGGUUGCAACGGGUGACGGAGGGUUAGGGCUCGACCCCGGAGAAGGAGCCUGAGAAACGGCUACUACAUCCAAGGAAGGCAGCAGGCGCGCAAAUUACCCAAUCCCGACACGGGGAGGUAGUGACGAUAAAUACCGAUACAGGGCUCUUUUGGGUCCUGUAAUUGGAAUGAGUACAAUUCAAAUCCCUUAACGAGGAACAAUUGGAGGGCAAGUCUGGUGCCAGCAGCCGCGGUAAUUCCAGCUCCAAUAGCGUAUAUUAAAGUUGUUGUGGUUAAAAAGCUCGUAGUAGAAGCUCGGGCUCCGGCCGACCGGUCCGCCUCACCGCGUGCACUGGUUCGGCCGGGCCUUCACCUUCUGCGGAACCGCAUCUCCUUCACUGGGGGUGUCGGGGAAACAGGACGUUUACUUUGAAAAAAUUAGAGUGCUCCAGGCAGGCCUAUGCUCGAAUAGAUUAGCAUGGAAUAAUGGAAUAGGACGUGUGGUUCUAUUUCGUUGGUUUCUAGGACCGCCGUAAUGAUUAAUAGGGACAGUCGGGGGCAUCAGUAUUCAAUCGUCAGAGGUGAAAUUCUUGGAUCGAUUGAAGACUAACUACUGCGAAAGCAUUUGCCAAGGAUGUUUUCAUUUAUCAGGAACGAAAGUUAGGGGAUCGAAGACGAUCAGAUACCGUCGUAGUCUUAACCAUAAACUAUGCCGACUAGGGAUCGGACGGUGUUCUUUCUUGACCC
RNAcentral lists this ribosomal RNA (918 nucleotides) under Xenoplectosphaerella clematidis. RNAcentral's name for it is "SSU rRNA". It matches the Rfam family "Eukaryotic small subunit ribosomal RNA", at positions 153 to 1077 of the family's 1831-position model. The record is from RNAcentral. Lineage: Eukaryota; Fungi; Ascomycota; Sordariomycetes; Glomerellales; Plectosphaerellaceae.